Molecule: ribosomal RNA, 465 nt
Filed under: Vreelandella stevensii
Lineage: Bacteria; Pseudomonadati; Pseudomonadota; Gammaproteobacteria; Oceanospirillales; Halomonadaceae
Description: partial 16S ribosomal RNA
Rfam family: Bacterial small subunit ribosomal RNA
Source: RNAcentral
CCUACGGGAGGCUGCAGUGGGGAAUAUUGGACAAUGGGGGGAACCCUGAUCCAGCCAUGCCGCGUGUGUGAAGAAGGCCCUCGGGUUGUAAAGCACUUUCAGUGAGGAAGAACGCCUGGUGGUUAAUACCCAUCAGGAAAGGCAUCACUCACAGAAGAAGCACCGGCUAACUCCGUGCCAGCAGCCGCGGUAAUACGGAGGGUGCGAGCGUUAAUCGGAAUUACUGGGCGUAAAGUGCGCGUAGGUGGCUUGAUAAGCCGGUUGUGAAAGCCCCGGGCUCAACCUGGGAACGGCAUCCGGAACUGUCAAGCUAGAGUGCAGGAGAGGAAGGUAGAAUUCCCGGUGUAGAGGUGAAAUGCGUAGAGAUCGGGAGGAAUACCAGUGGCGAAGGCGGCCUUCUGGACUGACACUGACACUGAGGUGCGAAAGCGUGGGUAGCAAACAGGAUUAGAUACCCUUGUAGUC